GCCUGGCUGGCUCAGUAGGUAGAGCAUGUUGACUCUUGAUCUCAGGGUCAUGAGUUCAAGUCCCAUGUUGGGUG
Molecule: non-coding RNA, 74 nt
Organism: Mustela putorius furo (domestic ferret)
Lineage: Eukaryota; Metazoa; Chordata; Mammalia; Carnivora; Mustelidae
Source: Rfam